GGUAAUUCCAGCUCCAGUAGCGUAUAUUAAAGUUGUUGCGGUUAAAAAGCUCGUAGUUGGAUCUGUGUUUCGAGCCGUUGGUUCGCCGCCUGUCGGCGUUAACUGACGCGUCUUCGAAACGUCCUGCCGGUUGGCGGUCGGUCGCGCGUCUUACUUUCGGGUUCGACGGACUUGCGACGCGCCAGUGCUUACACCCGUUCCCGAUGUUCUUCACUGAGCGUCGAGUCGGGCCGGCACGUUUACUUUGAAUCAAACUGGGUGCUCAAGGCAGGCAAAUUUACCGCUUGAAAGAACUUGCAUGGAAUAAUGGAAUAGGACCUCGGUUCUUAUUUUGUUGGUUUUCGGAACCCCGAGGUAAUGAUAAAUGGGGACUGACGGGGGCAUUAGUAUUGCGGCGUUAGAGGUGAAAUUCUUGGAUCGUCGCAAGACUACCUAAAGCGAAAGCAUUUGCCAAGGAUGUUUUCUUUAAUCAAGAACGAAAGUUAGAGGUUCGAAGGCGAUCAGAUACCGCCCUAGUUCUAACCAUAAACGAUGCCAGCCAGCGAUCCGCGGUGGUUCGUUUUCAAUGACCCCCCGGGC
This 579-nucleotide ribosomal RNA is filed under the name Liposcelis paeta. Its description in RNAcentral is "bacterial SSU rRNA". It matches the Rfam family "Eukaryotic small subunit ribosomal RNA", at positions 578 to 1084 of the family's 1831-position model. The record is from RNAcentral. Lineage: Eukaryota; Metazoa; Arthropoda; Insecta; Psocodea; Liposcelididae.